CGGCGCUGCCCCGCGGCCGCCGGAUACGCCGCCUCCAUUCACCGGAGCCCCGCGAGGGGUGCGGGGGGGUGGCGUCCCGGCCCGGCGCUGCCCCCCGGCCGGGCAGCACAAAGCAGCGGCUGUCACACGCACACGAGCAGCAACUCGGGAGGAUGAGGAGGAGCCGCCCCCGAGCCCCCCCCGCAACUGGACGUGGCACAACGAACACUCCUCCCGCUCCGGGCCCCCCGUGCCGCCCCCGGCAGGUACCGGCCCCCUCCUGCGCGGGGCGGCCGCGGAGCCUCGGCCGCACAGAUCGCUCAGGAGAAGAUCAUUUCCUUUGCCCUCACCCUGAAGAACAGUUUAAUUUACCUUAGGAGUUUCCCAGCAGACCACAGGGAGCCCUACAGAGGGUCAGGGCUUGAGGUCAGUUGCCUUUGCAGCCCCCCCUUAAGGGCCCCCACCAGCACAGCUGUAGCUGGCAUGCCUCCCCUUGCCAGCUGCUUCAGAGCUCCUGUGAAAGCCUUGG
Molecule: long non-coding RNA, 508 nt
Organism: Zonotrichia albicollis (white-throated sparrow)
Lineage: Eukaryota; Metazoa; Chordata; Aves; Passeriformes; Passerellidae
Source: Ensembl